This 1758-nucleotide long non-coding RNA is filed under the name Homo sapiens (human). RNAcentral describes it as "PREDICTED lncRNA (TCONS_00185689)". The record is from RNAcentral. Lineage: Eukaryota; Metazoa; Chordata; Mammalia; Primates; Hominidae.
CACCAACCUAAUAUAAAAAAAAAGCACCUUAAAUACUAGAACUCCACUCGGGGCUUUUGCUCCUAGAGUAGAAUUGGCAGGAAUUGCCUGCAGGCUUACAUGGUUUUCUUUGUUUUUCUCUCCCACCAUGUCCCUUUUGGUCAACCUCACGUGCUGGGUUUGAAUCAGUUAAAUGAGUGUCAUGCUGUGGCCUCACUUCACCCAGCAUAGACAAGUGUUUGGAAGGGUGGCGUUAGAGGAGAUUCUAGAAGCAGUAGCCCCAGCACAAGUUGAGCCCUUGGCCCCUGCUCAGGAGACGGCCUCUGGAUGGGAUUCAGGGAUGCGAGCCCCUCAUGUGAGCUGAGCUCAGGGAAUGUCGGGAUCAAAUCUGGUGUCCUAGAAAAGUCAUCUUUUAUGUGCUGAACCAGUCCCCAGGGGGUUGCAUUUACUUGUUCCAUGGCCAUGGAAUUUAGAAAAACAUGCAAAAAUAAUUCUUCAGUCCUUGAAGAGCAUCCAGCACAGAAGGUACAAACCCUCCUUAAGGCUCCCUCCUCAAAUCGGUUUGGCCAUUUUGAUGUGCACCCCCGCCAGGCCUUUAUACCCUUCAGAUGCCAAAUCUAAGAACCAGCUCCCAGAAACCACACCCCCUGUUCCAACCCCCAGCCUGGCUUGAGCGUGGGGUGGGUGGGAGCCCAGCUGGGCACCCCAGGGGUCUGGUGUCUUCUCCAGGAAGCUCUCGGGUUCCCUUGGUUCUCUCUGCAGUUUACAUGAGCUGGUGAAACAUGAAGAAAAUGGCCUGGUCUUUGAGGACUCAGAGGAACUGGCAGCUCAGCUGCAGAUGCUUUUCUCAAACUUUCCUGAUCCUGCAGGCAAGCUAAACCAGUUCCGGAAGAACCUGCAGGAGUCGCAGCAGCUCUGAUGGGAUGAGAGCUGGGUGCAGACUGUGCUCCCUUUGGUUAUGGACACAUAACUCCUGGGCCAGAGGCUAAAACCCCAGGGCCCCUGCUGUCCUUCCCGCAGCUUCUUGGAGUGUCAGGGCAAACCCUUUCGAGCAGCGCCUCCCAGUGGCCAGAAGCUGAAAUGACGGCAGUGGUGCCACCUGGUGAAUGACCCGGGAAGCUGUGGUUGGCCCUGAUUUCUUCUUUGGAGUCUCUGAAACGCUUCCUGUCUUUUGUUCUUCAUGCCCCGUGCCCCUGUUAGCGUAUUACUGUUCUCUGACUUCCCUGUGACCUCUGCAGUACUCCUCAUCCUGCAUUUGGUCUCCAGGUGUCACCUUUCUGCCGUGUUCCUAACACUUUGAUCCCUGUCUUGAAAAAAGCACCUGCUGCACCAUAGGCUCAGGGAUGUGGCAGCUGCAGUGGGCUUGGCUUUGUGAGGAACCGAGUGUGUCCAGGGAUGUGACAGCUGCAGCGGGCUUGGCUUUGUGAGGAACCGAGUGUGUCCAGGGAUGUGGCAGCUGCAGUGGGCUUGGCUUUCUGAGGAACCAAGUGUGUCCACAUUGGGGGAACGUCAUACUUGAUACACACUUUUUUAUCUGCACAAAGCCAGAAUUUUCAUGUCUGAUAUAUGGUGAUUUUCGUAAGAACCAGAACUGCUGGCAGAAAGGGGGCACCCACACGCUUAGAUAGCCGAUGUCUUAUUAGAGGGCAGUUUGUGGUUUCUGAUUUGGAAUUUAACAUUCUCCAAACAUUCCAGUACAAUGAAAGUUUUAUCCGCUUUCCCAUAUAAAAAUUCUUCCCAUGAGAUUGACUUGAUUCUCACAAUCCCGUUGGAGUCGUG